UUUACAUGUGUUAGCCACCCAUCC
This 24-nucleotide non-coding RNA is filed under the name Arabidopsis thaliana (thale cress). The record is from RNAcentral. Lineage: Eukaryota; Viridiplantae; Streptophyta; Magnoliopsida; Brassicales; Brassicaceae.